This 2218-nucleotide long non-coding RNA is filed under the name Nicotiana tabacum (common tobacco). Its description in RNAcentral is "long non-coding RNA (NTAB_LNC013493)". Lineage: Eukaryota; Viridiplantae; Streptophyta; Magnoliopsida; Solanales; Solanaceae. The record is from RNAcentral.
AAAAAGAAAAGCAGUGCCGCAAUUCACAUAGACCCCCCCCCCCCUUUGGUCGUCUUCCUCAACACACCCCCUCCCCGUCUUCGUCUCCUUCACACACUCUGCCCCAAGUCACCGGACUCAACCCAACUCGCUGGAGUCCCUCCAUAACCACCAUAACAGACCAUCCUCUUCAAAGAACAAACCAUCUUCAACCUCAAAACACCCCCCUGAACUUCUACUUCUUCACUCUUGAACAUUCUUUUAAGUAGCCGAAGCCAUCAGCAAAGAACUCCAUUGACCUCAUAUCAGUAGCACUAAACACACACAUAGUCACACAUUGAAGCAACAGAGGCGCAAAUGCAGCGAACAAAAAUGGGAGCUGAAACAGUGAGGCGUCCCAAAGCGUUUAACAACAUUUUUCCCGCGAGUCUCGAGUUCUUUGGUUGAGUUUCGAUGACUGUUUCCAUUGGUUCUUUGUCGAGGUUCCAUUAGAGGUCGACGACAUUGGUUUCGCAUUCCAUUCACUUCGUAGACAAUUUGUUGUACAAAGUUCCCCUAUCAAUAUAAUCGGAAGGUUUUUGAGAAAGAAAGCUACCAUUGUCAUAUGCUUUGGUUUGAGAGGAGCUGUUGAUUUGGCACUCUCCUUAUCGGAUAAAGUAAGUUGUUUUCUGCUAAGUUUGCAAUUCAUAUGGCUUCAUGGAUCAUUUACUCUUGAAGUUUGGAUACAAAUGUGCACAAAAGAUACAUUAUUAUCUUUUCUUAAAAAUAAUUUUUACUUAGGUUACUGACAUGUCUCGAAAUGAUUUAGUAUAAAAUGUUUGUUGUUUUGAUUUUGUUUCUUAGUAUGAUAUGAGUCAGUAAUGAUUUUGAAUAUGGAAGACACCCAAUAAUUUCGCAGCUUUUGACCCUUUAUAAUCCCAAAUUUUAGGAAAUGAAUACACCGUAGCUUGCUUUAGGCGCGAUUAAUAAUAAAUAUCGUGACUAUGGUACGGUUCCCGUGACAUGGUCAUGAUACAUAAACUCGGAUGUGCAUUUAUGUGACCCAAAUCCAACUCUCAACAAUGUUAGAUAAAAUAUGUCGGGGACCGCGGGUACAUUUAUGUGACGUGGUUCAAGACGUGUUUUAAAUAACGUUGAAAUCCUCCUAAAAAAAUAAUUAAAUAAAAGCGGUUAUAAAGUUAAAAUUGCAUCAUAGGCUAAAACAUGUACUAAAAUCAAGUAAAUAGGCCGAUUAUAACAGUUGAGCGACCGUGCUAGAACCACGGAAUCCGGGAAUGCCAAACACCUUCUCCCGAGUUAACAAAAUUCCUUACCCGAAUUUCUGUGUUCGCGGACUGCAAUACAGAGUCAAUAUUUUCCUCGAUUUGGGAUUUGAACCGGUGACUUGGGACACCAUAAAAUUAUCCCAAGUGGCGACUCUGAAUUUUUUUAAAAUAAAAUAAUCUCGUUUCGAUUGUCACUUAAAUUAGAAAAACUCUGUUAUACCCUUGUGGGGGUAGGAAAAAGGAGGUGUGACAAAUUGUUUAUUCAUGUUUCUUUGAUUAUAUAAUAUGUGGUGAAUUUUAAUCACGAUAGAAUCCAUUCUAGGGCUAUGACUUGUUGAUUUGGACAUGACAGACUUCUUUCACUGUGUUGAGCUAUCUAAUUUAGCCAUAGUCAUACAAUUGCCUUACUUAACUUAUGAAUAAUUGGCUAUUGGCUUACUUUGCUCUUGUUAAUGUCAUGAUCAAACUUAAGAAUGUUAAAUAAGCAAACUGAACAAUUAUAAAAGUUGAAAUACGUCAUUAGAAAUAACCAUCUCUUAAAUAUGUAAAUAUUCAUCCGAUUUUAUUAUUAUGUCCUGGUAUGUCAUUAUCAUAUUAUUUCAUAUCCAUAUUUCUGAGUUGGAAAAUUGAAUAUUGUGAAAAGAUCAGAUUUUUGGCACUAAGGACCUUUUGAGCAGAUAUUGAUUAUUGAUGAUAUUGUGAUUGGAUCGGGUUGAACGCUACAAUAUUACUAUUAGUGGAUCAGGUUGCAUGCCAUUAUAGCGCUUGGAUAUGGAUCAAAUCCUCUGGAGUCGGGUGAUUACCUAAGUUACAUUGGGCCCUAUGAGCGCAGUCACUCAGAAUGGUGCUAGUUUGGACACUUGGCUAGUGCCGGAUAUAUCGAUUUGUGAAAUAAGAUAUUCAUAUUGGUUUGUGAGCAUGAAUUAGUAUCCUAGACUUGUGCAAUGACUCUUAUUUAUAUAUGAAUGUUGACU